RNAcentral lists this transfer RNA (73 nucleotides) under Bradymonadales bacterium. RNAcentral's name for it is "tRNA-Trp". It matches the Rfam family "tRNA". Rfam says of the family: Transfer RNA (tRNA) molecules are approximately 80 nucleotides in length. Their secondary structure includes four short double-helical elements and three loops (D, anti-codon, and T loops). Further hydrogen bonds mediate the characteristic L-shaped molecular structure. tRNAs have two regions of fundamental functional importance: the anti-codon, which is responsible for specific mRNA codon recognition, and the 3' end, to which the tRNAs corresponding amino acid is attached (by aminoacyl-tRNA synthetases). tRNAs cope with the degeneracy of the genetic code in two manners: having more than one tRNA (with a specific anti-codon) for a particular amino acid; and 'wobble' base-pairing, i.e. permitting non-standard base-pairing at the 3rd anti-codon position. Lineage: Bacteria; Deltaproteobacteria; Bradymonadales. The record is from RNAcentral.
AGGCCAGUAGCUCAGUUGGUAGAGCGCCGGUCUCCAAAACCGGGUGUCGGGGGUUCGAGUCCCUCCUGGCCUG